GCCAACUCCUCCACUCCUUCCAUGCUCUCCAUUAUUCAUUUUUUUUAUUUUGACUAUUGAAUUUUUGAUAAUUCUCUCUACUAGCAAUUUUUUUUUAUCACUUCCCUCAAUCUGUCGUCCCUUCCCCUACUCUUCCAAUAUUUCUAUUUUCUUCCUUUUUGCAACUGUGAGCUUCUGUCGCUCCUUUGAUUUUUUUUCUUUUCUUCUUUGUAUUUUCCUUUUAACCAUUUUUUAAUUUAAUCUCACAACCAAUCCUUGAUUUCUUCUUCCGUUGCCUUUCUUCUAUUCUCUUCUUGUAAUGUUAUUUUCAUUCGGAUAUAAACCUUUUGUUAGCAUCAUCCCCUCUGUGUAAAUUUCAUUUUUUUACGGGUGUCAUAUCCCAAUUUUUAACAACUUUGUUUGUGUGUAUGGUAAGGAGUCUGAUUUAAGUUUCGUAAUUUUCUGUGGGGAAUUUUUAGUACAUUUUUUUCUUUUGUUCUAAUUGUUUAGUUUUCUUGGCAUUGUUUUGAUUGUGUGAAAUACAUGUUAGGUAAAGAGCGUGAAAUACCUAACCCUUUGGUGAAUUAGGUGUUGAUUGUUUGCUACUUUUCGGGGUAAGUAAUCGAUGUCUUAGUUUAGGGGAUGGUGUUGGUUUAGUUUCAAGGGCUAAAUGUUUUUAUUUUUGUAGUGCAUGUGAUUUUAAUGGUUUCGUUAUGGUAAUCGUGUGUAGGUUCCAAUUUCAUUGCAAUUGAGACGACGUGUUAAAAGAAAAGUGUGUGUUCUAACCUCAUAUGUUUGUGUGUGUUUCUGACUAAAAAAAUGGAGAAAAAGCGUGAAAAUCUAAAAAACAUAUGAAAAAUUGAAUCUGUCAAUUGAUGUCAUACGGUCGUGUGGGACACACGGGAAUGCGGGCUCAUUUUAACUGAUUGUGGUUCUUGCUUAGGCCAAGUGUUUGAAUCUAAAAUCUGAAAUUAGAAUGUAACCACUCGAAACCUUGUUAUUUGUGAAACAUGGUGUACAUACAUUAGUUUUAAUAUGUUCCCAUUAGUAAAUUCUGAGUAAACUAUGUUAUGUUUUGCUCCAUAUGUGGUAUGUAUAUAAGACAUGAAUCUAUUUUAAUAUGAAUUCUUGUGUUAUGAUAAGAUUAUAUGCAUGAACAUGUGAUAUGAUUUUUCCGCAUGCAUUGGGGUGGAAUAUGGAUAUCUGAUGGAGGAAGUGCGUUUCUGGCAGUUUUAUUACAAUUUUAGCGGUAUAUCGCAACAUAUAGUCUAGCUAUUUUACUGUAACUCUGGCUAUAUUUCUGUAAUAUAUGUGUAUUCUGGCAGGACAGUUACAAACUUUCUGAGUGGCAUAUGACCACAUUCUGGUCUGAUGGUUGGAUGGGUUCUUGUAGCCAUAUUUGGUGUGAUUGGUUGGAUGGAAUAGUGUGUACUAGAUGGGGGUAAGAUUAAUUCUAUUUUGAUAAUUGCAUCUACACAUGUGAGAUAGCUGAUCUAUCUGUUUUGAUAUAUAUGUAUAUAAGCAUGUUUUCAAGUGAUUUCUACUCAUGGGUUGAGGUACACACUGGGCUUUAACUCACUCUAUUUGUUUGCUAUUUUUUAGGAGAUCCUCAAACUUAGGAUUUGGCGGCACUCAAGGGCUCGGUUUUGUUCACUAUUUUUAAUUCUUUUAGAAACUUUUGCUUGGAUUUUAUGGACUGGAUUGUCGAACUAUUUUAUUUUUCGGACAUUAACUUUGGUUUGAAAUUGGUUAAAUGUUUUUAGUUAGUUGAGAAGUUUUUUUUUUUUUUGUAAUUGGAAUGAUUUCUGACGAAACAAAUCAAAUAAAC
Molecule: long non-coding RNA, 1807 nt
Filed under: Gossypium raimondii (Peruvian cotton)
Lineage: Eukaryota; Viridiplantae; Streptophyta; Magnoliopsida; Malvales; Malvaceae
Description: long non-coding RNA (GRAI_LNC009483)
Source: RNAcentral